GAUCCUGGCUCAGAUUGAACGCUGGCGGCAGGCUUAACACAUGCAAGUCGAGCGGGGAGAUGUAGCUUGCUACAUAUCCUAGCGGCGGACGGGUGAGUAAUGCUUAGGAAUCUGCCUAUUAGUGGGGGACAACAUUCCGAAAGGAAUGCUAAUACCGCAUACGCCCUACGGGGAAAGCAGGGGAUCUUCGGACCUUGCGCUAAUAGAUGAGCCUAAGUCGGAUUAGCUAGUUGGUGGGG
RNAcentral lists this ribosomal RNA (239 nucleotides) under uncultured bacterium. RNAcentral's name for it is "partial 16S ribosomal RNA". It matches the Rfam family "Bacterial small subunit ribosomal RNA", at positions 15 to 257 of the family's 1533-position model. The record is from RNAcentral.